UUUAAAGUCUAAACUUUUAAUCAAAAUUUCAGAAUUUGGCACAUACCUCUCAUGCCUCGAUACAUAACUUGAAACUCUUGCUUUAUCUCAAAUUUUUGAAGUUUUAUCCUUAACCAAAUAUAAAAGAAAGGAGAAGAAAAUCAAAAGUUCAAAUUGGUAAUAUUUGGAUGAAAAAGGGGGAGACUUCACUCUCAAAUUUGAAAAGCUGAAAUUCAGCAACUUGAGCUCUUCUAGAACAAAUUUUCUAAUUUUAAGAUAAGUAUCAAUCUGCUCAUACUCAAUAUUUUGUAAUCAUCAAAAAGGGGGAGAUUGAGG
This 315-nucleotide long non-coding RNA is filed under the name Phoenix dactylifera (date palm). RNAcentral's name for it is "long non-coding RNA (PDAC_LNC013131)". Lineage: Eukaryota; Viridiplantae; Streptophyta; Magnoliopsida; Arecales; Arecaceae. The record is from RNAcentral.